RNAcentral lists this RNase P RNA (161 nucleotides) under Microbacteriaceae bacterium. RNAcentral's name for it is "partial RNase P RNA component class A". It matches the Rfam family "Bacterial RNase P class A", at positions 1 to 173 of the family's 367-position model. Rfam says of the family: Ribonuclease P (RNase P) is a ubiquitous endoribonuclease, found in archaea, bacteria and eukarya as well as chloroplasts and mitochondria. Its best characterised activity is the generation of mature 5'-ends of tRNAs by cleaving the 5'-leader elements of precursor-tRNAs. Cellular RNase Ps are ribonucleoproteins. Lineage: Bacteria; Bacillati; Actinomycetota; Actinomycetes; Micrococcales; Microbacteriaceae. The record is from RNAcentral.
UGGGUCGGCUAGACGGUCGCGGUAGUUGAAAAACUAACGAGGAACGUCCGGGCUCCAAAGAGCGCAGUGGUGGGUAACACCCACUCGGUGUGAACCGCAAGAAAGUGCAACAGAGAGUAAACCGCCACGCAAGUGGUAAGGCUGAAACGGUGGUGUAAGAG